This 106-nucleotide microRNA precursor is filed under the name Marmota monax (woodchuck). The record is from RNAcentral. Lineage: Eukaryota; Metazoa; Chordata; Mammalia; Rodentia; Sciuridae.
ACACAAAUUACCUGGAGAGCUUGUUAAAAUUUAAGUUCUGACUUAGUGAGGACUUGGGUGGGGUCUAAGAUUCUGCAUUUGCAGCAAGCUCCCAGAUACUGUUUCA